This 330-nucleotide ribosomal RNA is filed under the name Crypthecodinium cohnii. RNAcentral's name for it is "partial Eukaryotic large subunit ribosomal RNA". It matches the Rfam family "Eukaryotic large subunit ribosomal RNA", at positions 1463 to 1794 of the family's 3401-position model. Lineage: Eukaryota; Dinophyceae; Gonyaulacales; Crypthecodiniaceae. The record is from RNAcentral.
GCAAAUAUUCAAGUGAGAACCUUGAAGACUGAAGUGGAGAAAGGUUCCAUGGAAACAGCAGUUGGACAUGGGUUAGUCGAUCCUAAGAGAUGGGGAAGCUCCGUUUCAAAGGCCUGAUUUUUCAGGCCACCAUCGAAAGGGAAUCUGGUUAAAAUUCCAGAACUUGGAUAUGGAUUAUUCACGGUAACGUAACUGAAUGUGAAGACGUCGGUAUGAGCCCUGGGAGGAGUUCUCUUUUCUUCUUAACAGCUUAACACCCUGGAAUUGGUUUAUCCGGAGAUAGGGUCUUAUGGCUGGAAGAGCGUAGUACUUUUGCUGCGUCCUGCGCUC